UACCAUGCCAAAACAUGGUAAAAUUACCCAUAAUUUAUGUUAAGUACACCAAAAAAUAGUUAGGAUUACUAUGGUUUGGCAUUUCGUCAAAUGGUAAUCAUUACAAAAACACAUGGUCAGCGCUAAUAUGUGUUUGUGUUUAAUUUGACUACCUACGCAUAUCUUUUCCACCAUGUUUUAGUGAAUUUUACCAUGUUCACCAUUUUGACAGCUCACAUUCGCAAUAUUUAAUUGCGCAUAUUUUUUUCUAAUUUUAUAAGACUCUCUUCAGAAACAUCCAUUUGCAGAUACGAAUAGAGAUUUUUAAAUGAGUGCAUCAAAUGCUGGGCCACGCUUCUAGCCGUGAAAAGAUGUUCAUGUUAAGACAGGCGAGAGGACAGAAAAAGGCAAGACAAGAGAUCUCCUUAAUGUUCUGCAAAAGAGAAAAAUGUUGCAGGAUCAUUCUGCGCGAAUCUGCACCGGAGUAUGUACUCGGCAGCGUCAACGAUCGAUGCCCCUGUUUACAACAGUCUUUCAGCGGGAGCACAUCGUAUUGCACAAGAAUGUCCUCGGAAAACCCCGUCCGGUGCUGUUUAUUCAAGGAGAUUACGCUGGAGAGACUCGUCCACCGACCGGUCGGUGGUCGGAACUUUCGCGCAGAGAUUGGCUCGGAGAUUGGUUUAUUCAUCUCAAAGCUCAGUCACGAAGGAUGGAAUGUCACCAAUGUCCCCCAAGGCUUGGCUCAAAGGAACCCAAACCCGAGCCCAAACUUGUACACCUGCCAAAUGCUAAUUUCCUUAUUAUAUCUAUAUUUUUACAAAUAUUGUAACAUAAAUCUACAUAAACAUAAAUAUAACAUUUAAUUUAAUUUUUUUUUCUUUAGAAAAUGUAAACAAACCUCAAUAAUACCGCUAGUUGUAGUCAACCAUAAACAUAGUAAAAACUUCUUUUCAUUGGUUACGUUUACCAUGCUGAUUAUCGUUGCACAUAGUAAAAAUGACUAAAAAAUAUGGUUGGGAACAACAAAAAUAUGUCAAUAAUAGUUGCAUGGUAAAUUCCACCCCAUCCAUGGUAGUCUCAAGCAGGAAUCAUGGUCUACCAAAAUCAAGUAGUAAAAGUGUUUUAAUUUCACCCUCGAUACGGUCA
Aedes albopictus (Asian tiger mosquito) is the source of this 1125-nucleotide long non-coding RNA. RefSeq lists it as uncharacterized. The transcript has 3 exons. NCBI's taxonomy places the organism in Eukaryota, Metazoa, Arthropoda, Insecta, Diptera, Culicidae. The record is from RefSeq and is a predicted model, not a curated record.